Molecule: microRNA precursor, 178 nt
Organism: Oryza rufipogon (brownbeard rice)
Lineage: Eukaryota; Viridiplantae; Streptophyta; Magnoliopsida; Poales; Poaceae
Rfam family: MIR812 microRNA precursor family
Source: Rfam
AAUAAAUACAGUCAUGAGUUUCCGCGUCUAACUUUGAUAAUUAGCAUUUUUGUUGUUAUAGGAUGAAAAAACAUGAAUAGUACUUCACUUGUGACUUAUGUUUUUAAUUGUUUUAAAAAAAGUUUUAAAUAAGACGAAUGGUCAAAGUUGGACGCGGAAAACCAUGACUGUAUUUAUU